RNAcentral lists this ribosomal RNA (202 nucleotides) under uncultured bacterium. RNAcentral describes it as "partial 16S ribosomal RNA". It matches the Rfam family "Bacterial small subunit ribosomal RNA", at positions 338 to 524 of the family's 1533-position model. The record is from RNAcentral.
CCUACGGGAGGCAGCAGUAGGGAAUCUUCCGUCAAUGGAGGAAAGUCUGACGGAGCAACGCCGCGUGAGUGAUGAAGGCUCUUCGGAUUCUGUAAAGCUCUGUUGUUAGGGAAGAACAAGUGACUGGAGUAACAUGACCUGGACCUUGACGGUACCUAAACAGAAAGCCACGGCUCAACUACAUGCCAGCAGCCGCGGUAAU